RNAcentral lists this ribosomal RNA (440 nucleotides) under uncultured bacterium. RNAcentral's name for it is "partial 16S ribosomal RNA". It matches the Rfam family "Bacterial small subunit ribosomal RNA", at positions 338 to 795 of the family's 1533-position model. The record is from RNAcentral.
CCUACGGGAUGCAGCAGUAGGGAAUUUUCCGCAAUGGGGGAAACCCUGAUGCGGCACCGCCGCGUGAGUGAUGACGGCCUUCUGGUUGUAACGCUCUGUCUUCAGGGACGAUAAUGGCGGUAGCUAAGGACUACUCCACGGCUAACUCCGUUCCCGCAGCCGCGGUCAUCCGUAGGUGGCGAGCGUUGGCCGGAUUUACUGGGCGGAAAGGAAGCGGAGGCGGACAGUUAAGUGAUGUGUGAAAUACUCGGGCUCAACUUGAGGGCUGCAUUUGAAACUGGAAGUCUAGAGUGCAGGAGAGGAGAAUGGAAUUCCUAGUGUAGCGGUGAAAUGCGUAGAGAUUAGGAAGAACACCAGUGGCGAAGGCGACUCUCUGGACUGUAACUGACGCUGAGGCCCGAAAGCGUGGGGAGCAAAUAGGAUUAGAUACCCCUGUAGUC